GUCCUCUUGUCUGUAUAUGAGGUCUGACCUGCCCAGUGAAAAAGUUUUAACGGCCGCGGUAUUUUGACCGUGCAAAGGUAGCAUAAUCAUUAGUCUUUUAAUAGGAGGCUGGUAUGAAGGGUUUGACGAGUUGUUGACUGUCUCAUUCAAUUUGAAAUUAAAAUUUAACUUUUCAGUUAAAAGGCUGAAUUGAUUUUGGAAGACGAGAAGACCCUAUAGAGCUUUAUAAACAAUAUCUUUUAUUUAAAUUUUUGGUUUAUUGUAUUUCUUUAUUAGUUUGUUUAUUUUGUUGGGGUGACAAAAAUAUAUACUUAACUUUUUUAUUUAUAAAACAUUGAUUUAUGAUUGUUAGAUCCAGUCGUACUGAUUGUUAGAUUAAGUUACC
RNAcentral lists this ribosomal RNA (385 nucleotides) under Nihonogomphus ruptus. RNAcentral describes it as "partial 16S ribosomal RNA". The stretch from base 1 to 189 matches the Rfam family "Archaeal large subunit ribosomal RNA", at positions 1922 to 2143 of the family's 2987-position model. Lineage: Eukaryota; Metazoa; Arthropoda; Insecta; Odonata; Gomphidae. The record is from RNAcentral.